This 497-nucleotide ribosomal RNA is filed under the name uncultured bacterium. RNAcentral describes it as "partial 16S ribosomal RNA". It matches the Rfam family "Bacterial small subunit ribosomal RNA", at positions 28 to 507 of the family's 1533-position model. The record is from RNAcentral.
GAUGAACGCUGGCGGCGUGCCUAAUACAUGCAAGUCGAGCGAACAGACGAGGAGCUUGCUCCUCUGACGUUAGCGGCGGACGGGUGAGUAACACGUGGAUAACCUACCUAUAAGACUGGGAUAACUUCGGGAAACCGGAGCUAAUACCGGAUAAUAUAUUGAACCGCAUGGUUCAAUAGUGAAAUACGGUUUUGCUGUCACUUAUAGAUGGAUCCGCGCCGCAUUAGCUAGUUGGUAAGGUAACGGCUUACCAAGGCGACGAUGCGUAGCCGACCUGAGAGGGUGAUCGGCCACACUGGAACUGAGACACGGUCCAGACUCCUACGGGAGGCAGCAGUAGGGAAUCUUACGCAAUGGGCGAGAGCCUGACGGAGCAACGCCGCGUGAGUGAUGAAGGUCUUCGGAUCGGAAAACUCUGUUAUUAGGGAAGAACAAAUGUGUAAGUAACUAUGCACGUCUUGACGGUACCUAAUCAGAAAGCCACGGCUAACUACGUG